Molecule: ribosomal RNA, 460 nt
Filed under: uncultured bacterium
Lineage: Bacteria
Description: partial 16S ribosomal RNA
Rfam family: Bacterial small subunit ribosomal RNA
Source: RNAcentral
CCUACGGGUGGCAGCAGUGAGGAAUAUUGGUCAAUGGACGCAAGUCUGAACCAGCCAUGCCGCGUGCAGGAAGACGGCUCUAUGAGCUGUAAACUGCUUUUGCACGAGGGUAAACGCAGAUACGCGUAUCUGUCUGAAAGUACCGUACGAAUAAGGAUCGGCUAACUCCGUGCCAGCAGCCGCGGUAAUACGGAGGAUUCAAGCGUUAUCCGGAUUUAUUGGGUUUAACGGGUGCGUAGGCGGUCGGGUAAGUCAGAGGUGAAAUCCCGAGGCUCAACCUCGGCAUUGCCUCUGAUACUGGUUGGCUAGAGAGUAGUAGCGGUAGGCGGAAUGUAUGGUGUAGCGGUGAAAUGCUUAGAGAUCAUACAGAACACCGAUUGCGAAGGCAGCUUACCAAGCUACUUCUGACGUUGAGGCACGAAAGCGUGGGGAGCAAACAGGAUUAGAUACCCGAGUAGUC